AAGUCGAACGGUCCCGCAAGGGAUAGUGGCGAACGGGUGAGUAACGCGUAGGAAUCUACCUCUGGGAGGGGGAUAACAGCUGGAAACGGCUGCUAAUACCCCAUACAGGCGCGAGCUGAAAGGAGCAAUCCGCCCAGAGAUGAGCCUGCGUCGGAUUAGCUAGUUGGUGGGGUAAUGGCCUACCAAGGCGACGAUCCGUAGCGGGUCUGAGAGGAUGGCCCGCCACACUGGGACUGAGACACGGCCCAGACUCCUACGGGAGGCAGCAGUGGGGAAUUUUCCGCAAUGGGCGAAAGCCUGACGGAGCAAUACCGCGUGAGGGAGGAAGGCCUUCGGGUUGUAAACCUCUUUUCUGGGGGACGAA
RNAcentral lists this ribosomal RNA (364 nucleotides) under uncultured bacterium. Its description in RNAcentral is "bacterial SSU rRNA". It matches the Rfam family "Bacterial small subunit ribosomal RNA", at positions 59 to 449 of the family's 1533-position model. The record is from RNAcentral.